CCUANGGGGGGCUGCAGUCGAGAAUCUUUAGCAAUGCCCGAAAGGGUGACUAUGCGACGCCGCGUGAGCGAUGAAGGUCUUCGGAUUGUAAAGCUCUGUCGAGUGGGAUGAAUACUUUAACCAUAACAUGGUUGAAGAAUGACAGUACCACUAAAGGAAGCCACGGCUAACUCCGUGCCAGCAGCCGCGGUAAUACGGAGGUGGCAAGCGUUAUUCGGAUUUACUGGGCGUACAGGGAGCGUAGGCGGUUUGGUAAGCCCUCUGUGAAAUCUCCAGGCUUAACCUGGAAAAGUCGGAGGGGACUGCUGGGCUAGAGGACGGGAGAGGAGCGCGGAAUUCCCGGUGUAGCGGUGAAAUGCGUAGAGAUCGGGAGGAAGGCCGGUGGCGAAGGCGGCGCUCUGGAACGUUUCUGACGCUGAGGCUCGAAAGCGUGGGGAGCAAACAGGAUUAGAUACCCGUNUANUC
This 465-nucleotide ribosomal RNA is filed under the name uncultured bacterium. RNAcentral describes it as "bacterial SSU rRNA". It matches the Rfam family "Bacterial small subunit ribosomal RNA", at positions 338 to 795 of the family's 1533-position model. The record is from RNAcentral.